AGUCAAUUGAAGGAGAAGGACUGCUCAUGGAUAAUCAUUAAAUAUAUGAACUCAAAUAUGAGUGCAUAUUUGAGUUCAUAUAUUUAAUGAUUAUCCAUGAGCAGUCCUUCUCCUUCAAUUAGCU
Molecule: microRNA precursor, 124 nt
Filed under: Marmota monax (woodchuck)
Lineage: Eukaryota; Metazoa; Chordata; Mammalia; Rodentia; Sciuridae
Source: RNAcentral